Molecule: microRNA precursor, 108 nt
Filed under: Sorex araneus (European shrew)
Lineage: Eukaryota; Metazoa; Chordata; Mammalia; Eulipotyphla; Soricidae
Description: miRNA (ENSSARG00000017200.1)
Source: RNAcentral
AUACACAUAUAUGUAUAUAUGUGUGUAUAUAUACAUACAUAUACAUACAUAUAUACAUAUAUAUGUAUAUAUACAUAUACAUACAUAUAUACAUAUAUACAUAUAUAU